AGCGGGUGACAGGAGCUUGCUCCUGAAUUCAGCGGCGGACGGGUGAGUAAUGCCUAGGAAUCUGCCUGGUAGUGGGGGACAACGUUUCGAAAGGAACGCUAAUACCGCAUACGUCCUACGGGAGAAAGCAGGGGACCUUCGGGCCUUGCGCUAUCAGAUGAGCCUAGGUCGGAUUAGCUAGUUGGUGAGGUAAUGGCUCACCAAGGCGACGAUCCGUAACUGGUCUGAGAGGAUGAUCAGUCACACUGGAACUGAGACACGGUCCAGACUCCUACGGGAGGCAGCAGUGGGGAAUAUUGGACAAUGGGCGAAAGCCUGAUCCAGCCAUGCCGCGUGUGUGAAGAAGGUCUUCGGAUUGAAAAGCACUUUAAGUUGGGAGGAAGGGCAUUAACCUAAUACGUUAGUG
This 406-nucleotide ribosomal RNA is filed under the name Pseudomonas sp. LT53. Its description in RNAcentral is "bacterial SSU rRNA". It matches the Rfam family "Bacterial small subunit ribosomal RNA", at positions 65 to 471 of the family's 1533-position model. The record is from RNAcentral. Lineage: Bacteria; Pseudomonadati; Pseudomonadota; Gammaproteobacteria; Pseudomonadales; Pseudomonadaceae.